Molecule: ribosomal RNA, 253 nt
Filed under: uncultured bacterium
Lineage: Bacteria
Description: partial 16S ribosomal RNA
Rfam family: Bacterial small subunit ribosomal RNA
Source: RNAcentral
UACAGAGGGUGCAAGCGUUGUUCGGAAUUAUUGGGCGUAAAGCGCACGUAGGCGGAUCGUUAAGUCGGGGGUGAAAUCCUGGAGCUCAACUCCAGAACUGCCUUCGAUACUGGCGAUCUUGAGUCCGGAAGAGGUGAGUGGAACUCCUAGUGUAGAGGUGGAAUUCGUAGAUAUUAGGAAGAACACCAGUGGCGAAGGCGGCUCACUGGUCCGGUACUGACGCUGAGGUGCGAAAGCGUGGGGAGCAAACAGG